Long non-coding RNA from Oncorhynchus keta (chum salmon), 502 nucleotides. RefSeq lists it as uncharacterized. The transcript has 3 exons. The record is from RefSeq and is a predicted model, not a curated record. NCBI's taxonomy places the organism in Eukaryota, Metazoa, Chordata, Actinopteri, Salmoniformes, Salmonidae.
AGAGGAGAUGACAGGUCCUGGUUUAUAGAGGAGAUGACAGGUCCUGGUUUAUAGAGGAGAUGACAUGUCCUGGUUUAUAGAGGAGAUGACAGGUCCUGGUUUAUAGAGGAGAUGACAGGUCCUGGUUUGUAGAGGAGAUGACAGGUCCUGGUUUGUAGAGGAGAUGACAGGUCCUGGUGUAGAGGAGAUGACAGGUCCUGGUGUAGAGGAGAUGACAUGUCCUGGUUUGUAGAGGAGAUGACAGGUCCUGGUGAAGAGGAGAUGACAGGUCCUGGUUUAUAGAGGAGAUGACAGGUCCUGGUGUAGAGGAGAUGACAGGUCCUGGUGUAGAGGAGAUGACAGGUCCUGGUGUAGAGGAGAUGACAGGUCCUGGUGUAGAGGAGAUGACAGGUCCUGGUGUAGAGGAGAUGACAGGUCCUGGUGUAGAGGAGAUGACAGGUCCUGGUUUGUAGAGGAGAUGACAGGUCCUGGUGAAGAGGAGAUGACAGGUCCUGGUUUGUAG